AUUGAACGCUGGCGGCAGGCUUAACACAUGCAAGUCGGAGGGGUAGAAGGGGCUUGCUCCUUUGAGACCGGCGCACGGGUGCGUAACGCGUAUGCAAUCUGCCUUGUACAGAGGGAUAGCCCAGAGAAAUUUGGAUUAAUACCUCAUAGAAUAUUGAUGUGGCAUCACUAUUAUUAUUAAAGAUUUAUCGGUAAAGGAUA
This 200-nucleotide ribosomal RNA is filed under the name uncultured bacterium. Its description in RNAcentral is "partial 16S ribosomal RNA". It matches the Rfam family "Bacterial small subunit ribosomal RNA", at positions 30 to 227 of the family's 1533-position model. The record is from RNAcentral.